AUCUUGGUCUCAUCGGACCACAGGACAUGGUUCCAGUAAUCCAUGUCCUUAGUCUGCUUGUCUUCAGCAAACUGUUUGCAGGCUUUCCUGGGCAUCAUCUUUAGAAGAGGCUUCCUUCUUGGACGACAGCCAUGCAGACCAAUUUGAUGCAGUGUGCAGCGUAUGGUCUGAGCACUGACAGGCUGACCCCCCACCCCUUCAACCUCUGCAGCAAUGCUGGUAGCACUCAUA
Non-coding RNA from Pelobates cultripes (western spadefoot toad), 231 nucleotides. NCBI's taxonomy places the organism in Eukaryota, Metazoa, Chordata, Amphibia, Anura, Pelobatidae. The record is from the annotation of a GenBank genome assembly.